Odocoileus virginianus texanus is the source of this 3066-nucleotide non-coding RNA. Lineage: Eukaryota; Metazoa; Chordata; Mammalia; Artiodactyla; Cervidae. The record is from RefSeq and is a predicted model, not a curated record.
GCACGAGAAGGUUCACUGAGGGGACUUCCCAACUCAGGGUAAGGUGGGUGUUCUGGGUAACACGGAAGCCACAGGCUAGGGCUCUGACGUUCUACAGAGCAGCCGCUAACCCCGUGUGACUAUGAAAAUUAAGACAGUUGAACAUUGUGCUUCUCAGUUGCACUGGCUACAUUUUAAGUGCUCCAGGGCCGCCGUGUAGGCUACUGACUACCAUACUGGACGGCAGGGAGGGAGAUUCCCAUCAGCCCAGAAGGGUCCCUGGAUGGAAGCAUCAGUGGGGUCCUCCCACGGGGUUUCUAACAGUGCGGUGUGCACGUGUGUCAACAUGGGCUCUGGGUAAAAUGCAGCCUGGGACUUUCCAUCUCUGACCAGCGCCCCACUGAUGCUGCUAGUCCAAGGACACACUUUGGGUAGCAGCUGACAGGCCCUGGAGUGGCCUCCUGCACAGAGGAAAACACACCUUGAAAUAAUCCCCUGAACCAAAAAACAGUAACGCAAGGGGAGUUUGUGGGGACCAAAAACUGAGGCUGGGCUAAUCGCAGCUCGCUGUGUGUUCUGCUUUGCUAGUUAACAUGCAGAACCUGUAAAAGAACUCUCCGGAGACCGACCCCAAGCGAGGGUCUAUCAUUAAUCAACUUCAAGCAAACACAGCAAAGAGACACCAUGAUACAUGCUGGAAACUCCAAAUUAAUGCAUAUUUUUACAAACUGUCAAUAAGGCAAGAAAAGCCCUGCCAGGAAACACAAAUGGAGAGGAAAAGGUGUGCUCGACACAACAAUAUGAUAAGAAAGCAGAGCCCCGGUCAGAAUAAUAACACUGUCAGCUGUAAACAAGACUAAACAAGAGGCCCGGCUGGUAGCGGCCACCGGGACGCGCCGGGCUCUGAUGAGAUCUGCCAACGCGCUCAUUACAGCCCAACGCACAGUUCACCCGAAGGGGCCGGCGGGGGACCACACGAAACCACUCCGAUAACAACUGAGAAAUGUUGUUCGUAAAUCAUAUUUACAACCGAUCCUUUUGCAAAUACAAAUUACUUUCAGUUGUGGGGCUUUUGAUAUGUAAAAGAGCCAUUCAAGUUAUAAAACCCGGUCCCCAUUCAAGUUUUAAAAGAAAAAAAAAAGAUCCCAUUGCAGGGACAGGCUACCAGGGGUGGAUUUUUUCGUUCGAUUUUAUCAAGUAUUAGUAAUAAGAGGUGGUGCUGGGGACUGCUGCCUCCCUAAAUAAUUGAUGCUGUGUGCAAACCCUGAAGGCCACUUGAACCUUGAAAAACCAACAGAGGAGUGCUCCGGACUGCCCUUGCCACGGGGACCUCCAGAAGACCAACUGACUCUCAAUUAGCAAGGCCUAGAGAGUGUCUGGAGGUGGAUGUUGGGAAAAAUAGCUUUUAAAAAACAGAGCCCGUGUUCUUACAAACUAUGUGCAAAAUGAAAUAUGCCCAGGUUGUAUUAGAGUAUGUCUCACUAGUUUGGCUCCGUAUAUUCUUAAUUUGUUAAUGGUCCUAUUUAUUUGUUUUCAGAGUCAAGAUCCAGGACCAGAUGCGUAAUUUGCAGAGCCCAGUGCGAAGUGAAAAUGCAUUUCAAAAAUUCAUUGAGACUUUCCAGAUGGAAACCGCUGAGCAUUAAAACCUUCCAGCGUGGGAUCCUUGUGAGACUGUGUCCAUCACAUGCCUGGAAGGCAGCCCUGACAGGCCCCUCCCCUAUAUUCUUUCGGGAAGAAUUGGACAGAGGUGACGACCCUGUGCACCCUGGUUCAAACCCAGCACCUACUAUCGAGUGGAGCCCCAGCAAAGGUGAACCGAUCAGAUCUAUGGUGUGACAACCCGCCAACACAACCAGGAACACACGCCAGUGAAACCUCGGAGUUCUGUGGGCACCACGGAAAACUCUCUUCCACUCAGUAGCUUCAGACGUUUUCGCUCCAUAGUAAGUAUUUCCUGAAGGAGCAUACAUAACAAUUUAUAUUUGCCCUGAACUUCCUUAAUAUCUUAGUAAAUACUCCUGUCAUGACAAUGAUUUAAAGAUGAAUGCGGGUGUGAUAAUAAAGUCAGAAACACCAGGUUGCUAGAGAAGGAUGAUAUAUGGCAGUGGCAGCGGGAGAGAUAAACACGUUCUUAAAAUGUUGUGGAGGAAAUGCUAAGGGACUGUUAUGAAUUUAAAAAGACUAUUUUCAUCUUUAAAGAUCCUUUUCAAAGCACUUUGGGCAUGAAAUUCAAAUGCUAAAUAAUCAAAUUUCAGAUUCCUCCAAAGCCACCAAUUACCCACACUGGCAGACAGCAUUUUGCCUUUGUUGUGAGAUGCCAAUUCAUUCUGUUGCUAAUUGCUACAGGUCAUAUUUUCCAUUCUGAUCACUCAAAUGCUCUUAAACUAAGAUGUUGGUCAGUAAUUCAGAAGCAUUGUGUAGACAAGGGGUCUAUUUCUAGGGGCCGACAGCAUGGUAAACGCUGCAUUGGUUUACUCCUGUAAAGCGGGCGUUGGUUUUACAGACACUCGCUAAGAGGGAGAAGCAUCCCUGGUGAGUCCUACAUGGGAAAAUGGGGUUUCUUUUCUCUUUGAAACUUCUUGCAAGAGAGGGAGCUGUGUCACCCUUCCUGCCUCCCACUGCCCACUCCCAGGGGCAUCUCACACACAUGCAGGACGGACAGCCCUCACCCGGCACUCCGCACGGUUCUGGGCGUGCUCAUUAUACUGCCGUCUGCUGCUAUAAUGCCCCUAUUAAUUUUCCUUUUGAUAUUUUAAGAGCAAUCUAUAAAUCAUGCCGUCUUUCCUUCGUGCCAUCAUUAAUGCUUGGUAAUAGCACUUCAGCGUGGCGUGCGCGGCUCCCCAUUAUCCCACAACCAAGUAAACAAGCAUCCUUUCCCGCCCUGCUGGGUUCAGCGCGCCGGCACGUUGAACAGACAGCGAACUCUGCCCCAGGAUGCAUACUGCUUCUAGGAGGAAAAGGUAAGGUGGCUGAAAUAAUGGCCCGAGCUGGCCGAGCAAGGGCAAAGAGCGCAGGCAUCAUCCCCUUUGCAGCUCUGGGCAUUUGUGGGGCUGCAGGAAGCCCACUGCCUUUAUGGGUCGGAUAUAA